UACGGGGGGUGCGAGCGUUGUCCGGAAUCACUGGGCGUAAAGGGCGCGUAGGUGGCGCUGCAAGUCGGUGGUGAAAGCUCGUCGCUUAACGACGAGUCGGCCAUCGAAACUGCAGGGCUGAAGCACUGUAGGGGCUAAUGGAAUUCCGGGUGUAGCGGUGGAAUGCGUAGAGAUCCGGAAGAACACCAGUGGCGAAGGCGGUUAGCUGGGCAGUUGCUGACACUGAGGCGCGACAGCGUGGGGAGCAAACAGG
RNAcentral lists this ribosomal RNA (253 nucleotides) under uncultured bacterium. RNAcentral describes it as "partial 16S ribosomal RNA". It matches the Rfam family "Bacterial small subunit ribosomal RNA", at positions 524 to 776 of the family's 1533-position model. The record is from RNAcentral.